This 1385-nucleotide ribosomal RNA is filed under the name uncultured bacterium. RNAcentral's name for it is "partial 16S ribosomal RNA". It matches the Rfam family "Bacterial small subunit ribosomal RNA". The record is from RNAcentral.
GAAUUCGCCCUUAGAGUUUGAUCCUGGCUCAGGAUGAACGCUGGCGGCGUGCCUAACACAUGCAAGUCGAACGGUUAAACCGCCCUCGGGCGGACAUACAGUGGCGAACGGGUGAGUAACACGUGACCAACCUGCCCCGCGCUCCGGGACAACCGCUGGAAACGGCGGCUAAUACCGGAUACUCCGCGGCCCCCGCAUGGGGGCGGCGGGAAAGCCCCGACGGCGCGGGAUGGGGUCGCGGCCCAUUAGGUAGUAGGCGGGGUAGAGGCCCACCUAGCCGACGAUGGGUAGCCGGACUGAGAGGUCGAUCGGCCACAUUGGGACUGAGAUACGGCCCAGACUCCUACGGGAGGCAGCAGUGGGGAAUUUUGCGCAAUGGGGGAAACCCUGACGCAGCAACGCCGCGUGCGGGACGAAGGCCCUCGGGUCGUAAACCGCUUUCAGCAGGGAAGACCACGACGGUACCUGCAGAAGAAGCUCCGGCUAACUACGUGCCAGCAGCCGCGGUAAUACGUAGGGGGCGAGCGUUAUCCGGAUUCAUUGGGCGUAAAGCGCGCGUAGGCGGCCGCCUAAGCGGAACCUCUAACCCCGGGGCUCAACCUGGGAACUGCUUCUGAAACUGUAUGGCUGGAGUGCUGGAGAGGUGAGCGGAAUUCCUAGCGUAGCGGUGAAAUGCGUAGAUAUUGGGAGGAACACCAGUGGCGAAGGUAGCUCUCUGGACUGUAACUGACGUUGAGGGCUCGAAAGCGUGGGGAGCGAACAGGAUUAGAUACCCUGGUAGUCCACGCAGUAAACGAUGAAUGCUAACUGUCCGGUGCGAAUGAGCGCUGGGCGGUACAGCGAAAGCGUUAAGCAUUCCACCUGGGGAGUACGCCGGCAACGGUGAAACUCAAAGGAAUUGACGGGGGCCCGCACAAGCGGAGGAACAUGUGGUUUAAUUCGAUGAUACGCGAGGAACCUUACCCGGGCUCAAACGCAGGAUGACGGGUCCCGAAAGGGGCCUUUCUUCGGACAUUCUGCGAGGUGCUGCAUGGUUGUCGUCAGCUCGUGCCGUGAGGUGUCGGCUUAAGUGCCAUAACGAGCGCAACCCCUGUCCACAGUUGCCAGCAGGUAAAGCUGGGGACUCUGUGGAGACUGCCGGCGCAAGCUGCGAGGAAGGCGGGGAUGACGUCAAAUCAGCACGGCCCUUACGUCCGGGGCGACACACGUGUUACAAUGGCAGGUACAGCGGGAUGCCACGGGGCGACCCGGCGCUGAACCCGAAAACCUGUCUCAGUUCGGAUUGGAGUCUGCAACCCGACUCCAUGAAGCUGGAUUCGCUAGUAAUCGCGCAUCAGCCACGGCGCGGUGAAUACGUUCCCGGGCCUUGCACACACCGCCCGUCA